UACGUAGGGGCCAAGCGUUGUCCGGAAUUAUUGGGCGUAAAGCGCGCGCAGGCGGUCCUUUAAGUCUGAUGUGAAAGCCCACGGCUCAACCGUGGAGGGUCAUUGGAAACUGGGGGACUUGAGUGCAGAAGAGAAGAGUGGAAUUCCACGUGUAGCGGUGAAAUGCGUAGAGAUGUGGAGGAACACCAGUGGCGAAGGCGACUCUUUGGUCUGUAACUGACGCUGAGGCGCGAAAGCGUGGGGAGCAAACAGG
This 253-nucleotide ribosomal RNA is filed under the name uncultured bacterium. RNAcentral describes it as "partial 16S ribosomal RNA". It matches the Rfam family "Bacterial small subunit ribosomal RNA", at positions 524 to 776 of the family's 1533-position model. The record is from RNAcentral.